GUCUAGAUGACGAGUCCUAAAUAGGACGAAAUUUCUAGAU
This 40-nucleotide non-coding RNA is filed under the name Trichobilharzia regenti. Lineage: Eukaryota; Metazoa; Platyhelminthes; Trematoda; Strigeidida; Schistosomatidae. The record is from RNAcentral.